Dermacentor silvarum is the source of this 513-nucleotide long non-coding RNA. RefSeq lists it as uncharacterized. The record is from RefSeq and is a predicted model, not a curated record. NCBI's taxonomy places the organism in Eukaryota, Metazoa, Arthropoda, Arachnida, Ixodida, Ixodidae. The transcript has 3 exons.
GGCGGUUUGUUGUCGCAGUUCGUUCGUUCUUUGUUCUAUGGUUCGCUUGCUUAAAGUGAUACGGGUUUUCUAGUGUAGAACUUCGGAUCGUAUUUGCAAGAACGGCACCAACAACACCGCUUUAUUUCGGUUCGGGUCAAUUUAUUCGUCCUCUGCUACAACUGCCGUGGAGGAGAAGUAGCAGCAGGGACGCCUCCACCGCUGUGAUUUCUGUGACUAUGAAACUGGAAAACUGUUCUGUCUGAAAACACACACCAUGGUCCACACAGGAUCAAAGCAGUCAUCCUGGCCAUCAACUACCGCGGAUGACAAGUCGCAGCAAAUGAACCUCCACCGCUGUGAUAUCUGCGAAUAUGAAACUGGAACACUGUCCAAUCUAAAAACACACAUCAGGCUUCACAUAAAGGAGCGGCUAUUUCAAUGCCAUUUGUGCCCUCAAAGCUUCUCGGAAAGAUCUAGCCUGACUACGCAUUUGCGCAUUCACUCAGGCGAGAAGCCAUUUCACUGCCCUUC